This 29-nucleotide non-coding RNA is filed under the name Homo sapiens (human). The record is from RNAcentral. Lineage: Eukaryota; Metazoa; Chordata; Mammalia; Primates; Hominidae.
UGCGUAUGUAAUGGUGGCUGAUGGUUCAA